UAUCGGUGAAGAUGCCGAUUACCCGCGAUGGGACGAAAAGACCCCGUGAACCUUUACUAUAGCUUAGCAUUGAAUUUGGGCACGCGAUGUGUAGGAUAGGUCGGAGGCAAUGAAUCAGGCACGCCAGUGUUUGUGGAGCCGCUGUUGAAAUACGACCCUUCGUUUGUUUGAGUUCUAACUCAAGGAUUGAGGACAUUGCUUGGUGGGUAGUUUGACUGGGGUGGUCGCCUCCAAAAGC
RNAcentral lists this ribosomal RNA (238 nucleotides) under Bacteroides caecigallinarum. RNAcentral describes it as "partial 23S ribosomal RNA". It matches the Rfam family "Bacterial large subunit ribosomal RNA", at positions 2048 to 2296 of the family's 2925-position model. The record is from RNAcentral. Lineage: Bacteria; Pseudomonadati; Bacteroidota; Bacteroidia; Bacteroidales; Bacteroidaceae.